Molecule: ribosomal RNA, 473 nt
Filed under: uncultured bacterium
Lineage: Bacteria
Description: bacterial SSU rRNA
Rfam family: Bacterial small subunit ribosomal RNA
Source: RNAcentral
ACUCCUACGGGAGGCAGCAGUAGGGAAUCUUCCACAAUGGGCGCAAGCCUGAUGGAGCAACACCGCGUGAGUGAAGAAGGGUUUCGGCUCGUAAAGCUCUGUUGUUAAAGAAGAACACGUAUGAGAGUAACUGUUCAUACGUUGACGGUAUUUAACCAGAAAGUCACGGCUAACUACGUGCCAGCAGCCGCGGUAAUACGUAGGUGGCAAGCGUUAUCCGGAUUUAUUGGGCGUAAAGAGAGUGCAGGCGGUUUUCUAAGUCUGAUGUGAAAGCCUUCGGCUUAACCGGAGAAGUGCAUCGGAAACUGGAUAACUUGAGUGCAGAAGAGGGUAGUGGAACUCCAUGUGUAGCGGUGGAAUGCGUAGAUAUAUGGAAGAACACCAGUGGCGAAGGCGGCUACUUGGUCUGCAACUGACGCUGAGACUCGAAAGCAUGGGUAGCGGACAGGAUUAGAUACCCUGGUAGGAUAGCG